This 449-nucleotide ribosomal RNA is filed under the name uncultured bacterium. RNAcentral describes it as "bacterial SSU rRNA". It matches the Rfam family "Bacterial small subunit ribosomal RNA", at positions 48 to 518 of the family's 1533-position model. The record is from RNAcentral.
UUCAUACAUGCAAGUCGAACGAGAAUCUGACUUCGGUCAGAGGAAAGUGGCGGACGGGUGAGUAAUGUGUAGAGAAUCUGCCCUAGAGUGGGGGACGAACAGUUGGAAACGACUGCUAAUACCCAUAUGCGCGUACUUGAGAUAGUAUUCGUGAAAACUCCGGUGCUCUGGGAUGAGUCUGCAUCUGAUUAGCUAGUUGGCGGUGUAAUGGACCACCAAGGCGACGAUCAGUAGCUGGUUUGAGAGGAUGAUCAGCCACAAUGGGACUGAGACACGGCCCAUACUCCUACGGGAGGCAGCAGUAGGGAAUUUUGCGCAAUGGGGGAAACCCUGACGCAGCAACGCCGCGUGAUUGAAUAAGCCCUUCGGGGUGUAAAGAUCUGUCAGUAGGGACGAAACUUGACGGUACCUACGGAGGAAGCAUCGGCUAACUCCGUGCCAGCCGCUGC